Molecule: ribosomal RNA, 500 nt
Filed under: uncultured bacterium
Lineage: Bacteria
Description: partial 16S ribosomal RNA
Rfam family: Bacterial small subunit ribosomal RNA
Source: RNAcentral
AUUGAACGCUGGCGGCAGGCCUAACACAUGCAAGUCGAGCGGAUGACGGGAGCUUGCUCCUUGAUUCAGCGGCGGACGGGUGAGUAAUGCCUAGGAAUCUGCCUGGUAGUGGGGGACAACGUUUCGAAAGGAACGCAAAUACCGCAUACGUCCUACGGGAGAAAGCAGGGGACCUUCGGGCCUUGCGCGAUCAGAUGAGCCUAGGUCGGAUUAGCUAGUAGGUGAGGUAAUGGCUCACCUAGGCGACGAUCGGUAACUGGUCUGGGAGGAUGAUCAGUCACACUGGAACUGAGACACGGUCCAGACUCAUACGGGAGGCAGCAGUGGGGAAUAUUGGACAAUGGGCGAAAGCCUGAUCCAGCCAUGCCGCGUGUGUGAAGAAGGUCUUCGGAUUGUAAAGCACUUUAAGUUGGGAGGAAGGGCAGUAAGCUAAUACCUUGCUGUUUUGACGUUACCGACAGAAUAAGCACCGGCUAACUCUGUGCCAGCCGCCGCCGUAA